GGGGUUGUGGCUCAGUGGUAGAGCACUUGCCUAACAUGCAUGAGGCACUGAGUUCGAUCCUUAGCAUCACAU
RNAcentral lists this transfer RNA (72 nucleotides) under Ictidomys tridecemlineatus (thirteen-lined ground squirrel). RNAcentral's name for it is "Spermophilus tridecemlineatus (thirteen-lined ground squirrel) tRNA". It matches the Rfam family "tRNA". Rfam says of the family: Transfer RNA (tRNA) molecules are approximately 80 nucleotides in length. Their secondary structure includes four short double-helical elements and three loops (D, anti-codon, and T loops). Lineage: Eukaryota; Metazoa; Chordata; Mammalia; Rodentia; Sciuridae. The record is from Rfam by way of RNAcentral.